RNAcentral lists this small nuclear RNA (106 nucleotides) under Pan paniscus (pygmy chimpanzee). The record is from RNAcentral. Lineage: Eukaryota; Metazoa; Chordata; Mammalia; Primates; Hominidae.
GUUCCCUUCGGCAAGAACUUACACUAAAAUUGGAGCAAUGCAGAGAAGAUUAGCAUGGCCUUUGCACAAGGAUAACAGGCAAAUUUGUGAAGCAUUCCUUUUUGAG